Molecule: long non-coding RNA, 288 nt
Organism: Tupaia belangeri chinensis (Chinese tree shrew)
Lineage: Eukaryota; Metazoa; Chordata; Mammalia; Scandentia; Tupaiidae
Exons: 3
Source: RefSeq, a predicted model, not a curated record
CUCUGACAUUCACAUGUUGUUGUAUUUAUGUAGGAUAAUUAGACCAGCUCUCUGAGGCUGCCCAAUGGAGCUACCAUUUCCACAUGGAAACUGCCACAUCCCAGAAGCAGCGGCUAGACUUAGCGGUCCAGCAACAGCUGGCGCUGUGAGCAGAACCAAUCAGUGGGAGUCACCACUCGGAGCUUCCUGCGGCAGCCGGAAGUUUAGUUCUGGGAAAUUUCUGGGCAUUUUCCUGGAGACCUGCCACCGCCGGAGUAAGAAUGGAAGUUGGGAGCGGACCUUCCCACU